Molecule: long non-coding RNA, 1108 nt
Filed under: Arabidopsis lyrata
Lineage: Eukaryota; Viridiplantae; Streptophyta; Magnoliopsida; Brassicales; Brassicaceae
Description: long non-coding RNA (ALYR_LNC002990)
Source: RNAcentral
AUCACCAGGAGCUGGGGAUCGAUCGAUCCAAGGCGUGGAUCGAUCGAUCCCAAUUGUGACGAUGAAACCAAAAGUUCCAGUCGCUCGAGAUCGAUCGAUCCCAGGAGGGGAUCGAUCGAUCCAACCCUCAUUCGUCCGAGACAAUUGAUUCAGCAUUUCUGGAUCGAUCGAUCCACCCAUGGGAUCGAUCGAUCCAACCCUCAUCCGUCCAAGACCGUGAUUCAGCAUAUCUGGAUCGAUCGAUCCACCCAUCGGAUCGAUCGAUCCGAGCCUCGACGCCCGAGACGGUUUUCCUAAACCGGGUUUUGUCUUCCUUUUUUUUUUUUUUUUUGUACUUGGGUAUAAAAACCCCAGAGACCUAAUUUUCUUUUGACGUUUUUUUUCUGCAAUUUUUCUGAGACUUCUCUCUUGUAAGCAACCUUGGGAUUCUAGAGAUUCAUCCUCUUUGACAAUUUGGAGAAGAUUUCUAAACCCUAUUUCUUAUUUUCAUUGCAAUUCAAUUAUGUCUUCUUCAUCUAUUUGUCUUGUUUCUGUUGCUAUGUGUGAGUAGUCUUUUAAUUAGGUGUUAGGGUUCUAAUUAGGAGAUUCGAUAGAUUAAUGGAUUAAUUGUUGUUUGGAAUUCUCAUUCUCUAGGUUCUUUGAUUCACAUGUUCUUAAUGCUAGAAUAGGAUUGAUCACCCUGUUGUAGAACCUAGGUUUUUCUAUGCAUCAAAAGUGUUCGAUAGAAUGCCUGAAAGAAUGUGAAUUGAGCAAUGUAUUUCUAGCCAACGAAAGUUGAAGUUAGGACGCAUUGUGAACUAAAUGAACUUGUUUGAUAAUGCGAAUUUGACUAGGAAAUUACAUGCGAAAGUUUAGUAAUCGAGUAGUCAAAUUUAGUGAUUAAUGUCUUGAAAGAGAAUUAGUCUAAGUUGUGUUCAUGUUCAAGAACGGUUCGUAAUUGUUGAAUUCCUUGUCCCAUGUUUCCAUUGUUUAUUGAUCUCUGAAAUACCCUAAUGCCUAAUGUCUUUAAAUCUUGAAACUUAAAUCGUUUAAUUUAAUUGCAUUUUUAUUUUACAAUUCGGAAAACUCAAACAAAACAACUUUUUAGUUUUAGCUAAGAACAAGUCUC